Choloepus didactylus (southern two-toed sloth) is the source of this 374-nucleotide long non-coding RNA. RefSeq lists it as uncharacterized. The transcript is spliced from 3 exons. The record is from RefSeq and is a predicted model, not a curated record. NCBI's taxonomy places the organism in Eukaryota, Metazoa, Chordata, Mammalia, Pilosa, Megalonychidae.
CAAAUGUCCAAUUUAUUGAGGAUUUACUCUAUGGAGCAAGAGCUGUUUGCAGCCUCCUUAACAUGAUCCUGCUUACAUCCUAUCAUCUGCAUCAGGUUCUUGCAGAAUUUGUGACUAUCAGAGGCCUUCAGGGAACUCCUACUCCUCCUUCAAGAACACCUUGAAACUUUCCCAAUGUUUCCCAACCAGAAAAUGUUUCCUGACCAGCUCAGAUUCCAAGCCAGCUAGCCAGAAGGCUUUAUAAAGACAACCCAGCAGUCACAGUUGUCAGAAAGGAGAGGACAUCUCCAUGCCAUGGGAGGUAGAGAUACCAGCCAAGGAGCCCCAAGGAUUGCCGGCAGCCAGCACCAGAAUGCCAAAGACUCCAGGAGAAA